Molecule: ribosomal RNA, 253 nt
Filed under: uncultured bacterium
Lineage: Bacteria
Description: partial 16S ribosomal RNA
Rfam family: Bacterial small subunit ribosomal RNA
Source: RNAcentral
UACGUAGGGUGCGAGCGUUGUCCGGAAUUAUUGGGCGUAAAGAGCGCGUAGGCGGUCCGGUAAGUCGGUUGUGAAAGUCGGGGGCUCAACCCUCGGAUGCCGAUCGAUACUGUCGGGCUAGAGUCCGGAAGAGGCGAGUGGAAUUCCUGGUGUAGCGGUGAAAUGCGCAGAUAUCAGGAGGAACACCUAUGGCGAAGGCAGCACUCUGGGACGGUACUGACGCUGAGACGCGAAAGCGUGGGGAGCGAACAGG